RNAcentral lists this ribosomal RNA (253 nucleotides) under uncultured bacterium. RNAcentral describes it as "partial 16S ribosomal RNA". It matches the Rfam family "Bacterial small subunit ribosomal RNA", at positions 524 to 776 of the family's 1533-position model. The record is from RNAcentral.
UACAGAGGAUGCAAGCGUUAUCCGGAAUGAUUGGGCGUAAAGCGUCUGUAGGUGGCUUUUUAAGUCCGCCGUCAAAUCCCAGGGCUCAACUCUGGACAGGCGGUGGAAACUACCAAGCUGGAGUACGGUAGGGGCAGAGGGAAUUUCCGGUGGAGCGGUGGAAUGCGUAGAGAUCGGGAAGAAUACCCGUGGCGAAGGCGGCCGACUGGGCCGUCUCCGACGCUGAUGCGCGAAAGCGUGGGGAGCAAACAGG